GUAGGUGGCAAGCGUUGUCCGGAAUUAUUGGGCGUAAAGCGCGCGCAGGCGGUUCUUUAAGUCUGGUGUGAAAGCCCACGGGCUCAACCGUGGAGGGUCAUUGGAAACUGGAGAACUUGAGUAUAGAAGAGGAAAGCGGAAUUCCACGUGUAGCGGUGAAAUGCGUAGAGAUGUGGAGGAACACCAGUAGCGAAGGCGGCUUUCUGGUCUGUAACUGACGCUGAGGCGCGAAAGCGUGGGGAGCAAACAGGAUUAGAUACCCUGGUAGUCCACGCCGUAAACGAUGAGUGCUAAGUGUUAGGGGGUUUCCGCCCCUUAGUGCUGCAGCUAACGCAUUAAGCACUCCGCCUGGGGAGUACGGCCGCAAAGGCUG
RNAcentral lists this ribosomal RNA (373 nucleotides) under uncultured organism. RNAcentral's name for it is "partial 16S ribosomal RNA". It matches the Rfam family "Bacterial small subunit ribosomal RNA", at positions 527 to 896 of the family's 1533-position model. The record is from RNAcentral.